AUUGAACGCUGGCGGCAUGCUUUACACAUGCAAGUCGAACGGUACCAGGGUGCUUGCACCGCUGACGAGUGGCGAACGGGUGAGUAAUGCAUCGGAAUGUACCGUGUAAUGGGGGAUAGCUCGGCGAAAGCCGGAUUAAUACCGCAUACGCCCUGAGGGGGAAAGUGGGGGACCGAAAGGCCUCACGUUAUACGAGCAGCCGAUGUCUGAUUAGCUAGUUGGUGAGGUAAAGGCUCACCAAGGCGUCGAUCAGUAGCGGGUCUGAGAGGAUGAUCCGCCACACUGGGACUGAGACACGGCCCAGACUCCUACGGGAGGCAGCAGUGGGGAAUUUUGGACAAUGGGAGCAAGCAUGAUCCAGCCAUGCCGCGUGUCUGAAGAAGGCCUUCGGGUUGUAAAGGACUUUUGUCCGGGAGCAAAUCCUAGUGGUUAAUACCUACUGGGGCUGAGAGUACCGGAAGAAUAAGCACCGGAUAACUACGUG
This 484-nucleotide ribosomal RNA is filed under the name uncultured bacterium. Its description in RNAcentral is "partial 16S ribosomal RNA". It matches the Rfam family "Bacterial small subunit ribosomal RNA", at positions 30 to 507 of the family's 1533-position model. The record is from RNAcentral.